CUAGCGACUUCAGAGUUUGAUCCUGGCUCAGGAUGAACGCUGGCGGCGUGCAUAACACAUUCAAGUCGAACGGAGUAUAGAAAUAUACUUAGUGGCGGACGGGUGAGUAACGCGUGAGCAAUCUACCUCCAGGUGAGGGAUAACAACCGGAAACAGUUGCUAAUACCUCAUGACAUAUAGGUAUCGCAUGGUACUUAUAUCAAAGGCUUGCUGCCUGGAGAUGAGCUUGCGUCCGAUUAGAUAGUUGGCGGGGUAACGGCCCACCAAGUCGACGAUCGGUAGCCGGACUGAGAGGUUGAACGGCCACAUUGGAACUGAGAUACGGUCCAG
This 330-nucleotide ribosomal RNA is filed under the name uncultured bacterium. RNAcentral describes it as "bacterial SSU rRNA". It matches the Rfam family "Bacterial small subunit ribosomal RNA", at positions 1 to 334 of the family's 1533-position model. The record is from RNAcentral.